This is a long non-coding RNA of Corvus hawaiiensis (hawaiian crow), 1578 nucleotides long. RefSeq lists it as uncharacterized. The transcript is spliced from 13 exons. The record is from RefSeq and is a predicted model, not a curated record. NCBI's taxonomy places the organism in Eukaryota, Metazoa, Chordata, Aves, Passeriformes, Corvidae.
UCACGGCGGCCCGCGGCAGCCGCCGGGUAGCGGAUCCGACAGUCGAACGGGGAGCGGGCACGUCGCGGGCCCGCUCCUCGCCCCCUUCCCCGGGAACCGUGGGCCACCCCUCGCACCCAUGCCCCCUCCCCGGCCCCCUCCGCUUCUGCCAAGUGGAAUAAACUCCCGGGUUUCCGGCAAAUAUUCACCCUUCCGACACCGAACGGGAGGCCGCCCCCCUCCCGGCCGGCUCCCCUGUCGGAGGCGGGCCGGGGUCCGUCCCCGCGGCCGGCAGCGCUCCCGGCGGCACCCGCCCCCAACUCCCCAUGCUUAUGUAACAGCUCUCAAGAGGAAGCUGCUAACAAGUCCAUCUGAUUGUUUGUGCCAGCUGUUUUAGUGGAGGCAUGCUGAGUGCAACUGAGCUCCACCUUCAUUUUUGGGAACUCUUAUUAAAAACAAGAGUUGCAGGUGGAACACUUGUGGUUCCUGCCUUCUGCACACUGAGUAUUUUUACUGCAGUGUAUGUAAUCUCCAUGAGUAGAAACACAGUGGCAGUUGUUCACUGCAUUUAGCAGUGUUUCUCCAUUAUAUGCUUGUUAAAAGAGGUGAGAUAUCUGGAAAAAAAUUAGACUUUGUGUGAAAAAAAAAAGCAACUAACCAAUAAGCUACCUAGAAAGCAUCCAGCCUGGAUCUCAGCUGCAAAGGAGAAAGUUUUUGUGUCAGUCUUGCCUGGAGUGCUGGCCUUGCUGGACUCAAAGCACUUGCCAUCCAGUGGAUUAAAGCUGAGACCCAAGACACCAGAGAGGUCUCCAUUUAGUUGAUUUUGGAAAGUACGAAGUAUUUGAGAGGAUUAGAGGUGACAGAAGAAGAGGAAUUCAGAGCAUGUAUUGAGUAAGGGAUGUUGACUGUGGAGGGAGAUUUUGGAGCUUGUUGUGUUUAUGGACAACUGCAUUGCAGAGUUCAUUUGAAUGCUCUGGGAUUCAUAAACUUGUGUAGCCUGGAAGGCAGGGCCCAUUGGAAUGAGUCAGAAUUUCACUGCAAAUGAUUUACCCAGCUUUAAGAUCUGCUUGCUUCUGUGGAGGAAGGCUUUGCACCAAGUGCAGAACUGGGUGACAAUGUGGAAAGAUCUGCUGCAGCUUUCUGCUCUUCCAGCUGAACCUUUCUGCUCUGGUUCUUCUCCCAAGUCUGCCUGCUUUGUGCUGCAUCAGUGGAAAACUGAAAGUCUGAGAGUUAUUCUGUGUGAGGCAUCCCUGUGAAAGGGAAGCAGUGCCAUUUCCGUUCGUUUGGUAGAAGGCCAGCAGUGAGAGACAAGCAGAAGCUGACUGUGUCUGUGGCAGUUUUGGAGGUUCCAGCUUGAUUCCAGGCCAGGCCAGUAGUGAAAGUCUUUUAGAGCUGGUGAGGAGCCUGGAGAGAAGACAAGUUCCUGAUGAAGAACCCUCUUCUUGGCUUCUUCUGGGCCCAAAGAGGAUCCAAAAGGCAAACACAGCAAGAGUAACCUUUCAGUAAUGCUACUUCAAAGAAAUGCAGUAGGGCAGGGACAAGUUUGAAUCUCAGAGGCAUCAUUGCUUGACUAAAGGAGAACAUACAGAAAUCAAAAGG